This is a non-coding RNA of Paramuricea clavata, 150 nucleotides long. The record is from the annotation of a GenBank genome assembly. Lineage: Eukaryota; Metazoa; Cnidaria; Anthozoa; Malacalcyonacea; Plexauridae.
CCAAUGGAUUUUAGUUAUAUAAAAAAAAGUGGAUCCAAUGGAUCCAUUUUCGGAUCCAUCAGAUCCAUUUUUUUUUAUAUAACUAAAAUCCAUUGGAUCCAUCAGAUCCAUCAGAUCCAUUUUUUUUUAUAUAACUAAAAUCCAUUGGAU